This 254-nucleotide ribosomal RNA is filed under the name uncultured bacterium. RNAcentral's name for it is "partial 16S ribosomal RNA". It matches the Rfam family "Bacterial small subunit ribosomal RNA", at positions 524 to 776 of the family's 1533-position model. The record is from RNAcentral.
UACGUAGGCGGCUAGCGUUGUCCGGAUUUACUGGGCGUAAAGAGCGCGCAGGCGGUCGUUCAAGUCGAGUGUGAAAGCCCCCGGCUCAACUGGGGAGGGUCACUCGAUACUGAUCGACUUGAAGGCGGGAGAGGGAAGCGGAAUUCCCGGUGUAGUGGUGAAAUGCGUAGAUAUCGGGAGGAACACCAGUGGCGAAGGCGACUACCUGGCCUGUUUCUUGACGCUGAGGCGCGAAAGCUAGGGGAGCAAACGGG